AGAGUUUGAUCAUGGCUCAGAACGAACGCUGGCGGCAGGCCUAACACAUGCAAGUCGAGCGGGCCCUUCGGGGUCAGCGGCGGACGGGUGAGUAACGCGUGGGAACGUGCCCUUCUCUACGGAAUAGCCCAGGGAAACUUGGAUUAAUACCGUAUACGCCCUUUUGGGGAAAGAUUUAUCGGAGAGGGAUCGGCCCGCGUUGGAUUAGGUAGUUGGUGGGGUAACGGCCCACCAAGCCGACGAUCCAUAGCUGGUUUGAGAGGAUGAUCAGCCACACUGGGACUGAGACACGGCCCAGACUCCUACGGGAGGCAGCAGUGGGGAAUCUUCGGCAAUGGGCGCAAGCCUGACCGAGCCAUGCCGCGUGAGCGAUGAAGGCCUUAGGGUUGUAAAGCUCUUUCGCCAGGGAUGAUAAUGACAGUACCUGGUAAAGAAACCCCGGCUAACUCCGUGCCAGCAGCCGCGGUAAUACGGAGGGGGUUAGCGUUGUUCGGAAUUACUGGGCGUAAAGCGCGCGUAGGCGGACUGGAAAGUUGGGGGUGAAAUCCCGGGGCUCAACCUCGGAACUGCCUCCAAAACUCCCAGUCUCGAGUUCGAGAGAGGUGAGUGGAACUCCGAGUGUAGAGGUGAAAUUCGUAGAUAUUCGGAAGAACACCAGUGGCGAAGGCGGCUCACUGGCUCGAUACUGACGCUGAGGUGCGAAAGUGUGGGGAGCAAACAGGAUUAGAUACCCUGGUAGUCCACACCGUAAACGAU
RNAcentral lists this ribosomal RNA (756 nucleotides) under uncultured bacterium. RNAcentral's name for it is "bacterial SSU rRNA". It matches the Rfam family "Bacterial small subunit ribosomal RNA", at positions 8 to 810 of the family's 1533-position model. The record is from RNAcentral.